UCAAGAAACUUCCACAAUGGGCGAAAGCCUGAUGGAGCGACGUCGCGUGAUGGACGAAGUGCUUCGGCACGUAAACAUCUUUUUAUGUGGGAUGAAAUUAUUGACAGUACCACAUGAAUAAGGGGCUCCUAACUCUGUGCCAGCAGGAGCGGUAAUACAGAGGCCCCAAGCGUUAUCCGGAAUCACUGGGCGUAAAGGGUGUCGAGGCGGUUGUAUUAGUCGUUCGUAAAAUCUACGAGCUUAACUUGUAGGCGGCGAACGAAACGGUACGACUUGAGGUUUGGAGAGGUGCGUGGAACUCACGGUGUAGGGGUGAAAUCCGUUGAUAUCGUGGGGAACACCAAAGGCGAAGGCAGCGCACUGGCCAAAAUCUGACGCUCACACACGAAAGCUAGUGUAGCGAAGAGGAUUAGAUACCCGCGUAGUCCCUGAGCGGGCUGGCAAGGCGCAU
RNAcentral lists this ribosomal RNA (451 nucleotides) under uncultured bacterium. RNAcentral describes it as "bacterial SSU rRNA". It matches the Rfam family "Bacterial small subunit ribosomal RNA", at positions 355 to 825 of the family's 1533-position model. The record is from RNAcentral.